UUUAGAAAACUAAUUAAUAAGUCAAGUAAGAAUAUUCUGCCACUUUCAAUGCGCUUACUAUUCUCGCAUUAUAUAAAAUCAACGAUUUCAAAAAUUGAAUUAUUUUUAAUUGAGCAUGCUUAAUAAGGGUUAGGAGCACUCUAAAUAGCGACGGAGCCUACGUUGAACAAGCGCUUGUCAGCACGAUCCAUGAACAGGAUUGGCAUGGAGACGAAAACCUUGUUGGAAGUCAGAUCAUUGUAAAAGGAACCUCCGGUUUAAUUACAAAAGAAAGCCAGCACACAUGCUUCCCACAACUUCCCUAUCCAAAAAGGAUCGCCUACGCUCGAGAAUAUACAAAGCGACGACGUCAUGAUCCGUCUCUUUUCCGAUCGCGAUCUCGUCGCCUCGUCCUUCUCCGGCUCAUCACCAGGGCACGAACCGGUCCAUGAGCAAGCACACGGUGGCCUCCGAAAUGGUGCUCUCCGCCGGAACCUCUUCCUUCUUGGCCGGGGACGAGUCCUUCCGUUCGGCUCUGGCCGAUUCCUUGCGUUCUUGCUCCGACUUCGACUUCGACCCGAGUAACUUCUGGACUGCAACCCUUUCUCUGAGCCUGGCGAGUUCAGAUUCCCAGAUCUCUACUAAUGCAGACAUUGUCUUGACCCUUCUGCUUUGUGGAACAAUGUUUUUUGGCCUUUUGGGUGGGAGUGUUUGUAUGGAAUUGCUGUGGAAUGAGGAGAGAAAUGAUGGGGGACUUUUAUAGUGGAGAGGACAAGGUUUGAAUGGGGUGUGGUUUUGAGGUAUUUACUAUUUAGGGUUUCUCUAGAAAUAGGUGGGAGAGAGUAAAUCCGUGUGUGGACAAGCACACAGGAUACAGCCGCA
RNAcentral lists this long non-coding RNA (861 nucleotides) under Eucalyptus grandis. Its description in RNAcentral is "long non-coding RNA (EGRA_LNC004016)". The record is from RNAcentral. Lineage: Eukaryota; Viridiplantae; Streptophyta; Magnoliopsida; Myrtales; Myrtaceae.